GGGGGAAUAUUGCACAAUGGACGGAAGUUUGAUGCAGCGACGCCGCGUGGAGGGUGUAGGCCUUCGGGUUGUGAACUCCUUUUUCUCGCGAAAAAGGCACAGUUUUGGCUGUGUUGAUGGUAGUGGGGGAAGAAGCGCCGGCUAACUACGUGCCAGCAGCCGCGGUAAUACGUAGGGCGCGAGCGUUGUCCGGAUUUAUUGGGCGUAAAGAGCUCGUAGGUGGUUCGUCGCGUCUGUCGUGAAAGGCAGCAGCUUAACUGUUGGUCUGCGGUGGGUACGGGCGGGGUUGAGUGCGGUAGGGGUGAGUGGAAUUCCUGGUGUAGCGGUGGAAUGCGCAGAUAUCAGGAGGAACACCGAUGGCGAAAGCAGGUCACUGGGCCGUUACUGACACUGAGGAGCGAAAGCGUGGGGAGCGAACAGG
Molecule: ribosomal RNA, 421 nt
Filed under: Fusobacteriota bacterium
Lineage: Bacteria; Fusobacteriati; Fusobacteriota
Description: Fusobacteria bacterium partial 16S ribosomal RNA
Rfam family: Bacterial small subunit ribosomal RNA
Source: RNAcentral